This 405-nucleotide ribosomal RNA is filed under the name uncultured eukaryote. RNAcentral describes it as "SSU rRNA". It matches the Rfam family "Eukaryotic small subunit ribosomal RNA", at positions 17 to 464 of the family's 1831-position model. The record is from RNAcentral.
CCAGUAGUCAUAUGCUUGUCUCAAAGAUUUAAGCCAUGCAUGUCUAAGUAUAAAUAACUACACAGUGAAACUGCGAAUGGCUCAUUAGAACAGUUAUAGUUUAUUUGAUAUAUUAAAUGGAUAACUGUAGGAAACUAGAGCUAAUACAUGCCUAGGCCGUAAGGCUGCAUUUAUUAGAUAAACCAAGAAGGUGAAUCAUAAUAACUUUGCAAAUCGAAACUACGUUUCGAUACAUCAUUCAAGUUUCUGACCUAUCAUGCUCUCGAUGGUAGUGUAUUGGACUACCAUGGCAGUCACGGGUAACGGAGAAUUAGGGUUCGAUUCCGGAGAAGGAGCCUGAGAAACGGCUACUACAUCUAAGGAAGGCAGCAGGCGCGUAAAUUACCCAAUCCUAAAUCAGGGAGG